RNAcentral lists this long non-coding RNA (375 nucleotides) under Pan troglodytes (chimpanzee). RNAcentral describes it as "lincRNA". The record is from RNAcentral. Lineage: Eukaryota; Metazoa; Chordata; Mammalia; Primates; Hominidae.
AGGACAUCUCCCCAAGAAUUAUCUAAGUGACUGAUGAAUCAGAGGGAUACCUAAAUACAAAAACUGAGUGAAAACACCAAAGGAUGAGCCAAGUUUGCCAAUGAUAGAGAUGAUAUCCUACUCAUAUUUGCUCUGAAGCAACUAAUACAAUGCUUCAUACAUGGUUCCCUCUUGUGAUGUUCAUCUUAAGCUGACUUUUUCCAGAUACAAAUGUUGUGGGUGGCAGCAGAAAAACCCAGCACCUGGGCUCACAUAGUGCUUAUGCCCAGUCUCAAUCUUGAUGCACAUGCACCCGUGUGUACUUCCCCUGUCUGUCUAAUAUCACUGAGUUUCCUUAUGACUUCAGUUCUUAAAAGCUUCAUCACCAUAACAUUA